GUCAGUGAUUUGCAUCACUCUAGACGUGAGUAUGCUUUUAGGCAAGGCUUAUAUGGUUUUCCUUGCACUAAACUUUGACCAAGAAUGUUUACAUAUAUACUUAAUAUUUUCAUUGUGCUGUUCUUGGUUUCUUCCAAGAUUGCACAAUUGGCUUGGUUUUCCUGUAGAUUGUACAGCUUUGUUUGUCAGUGGGUAUUUACUUUAAAGAACUGUAUAAAUUCAGACAUAUUUGAGGAUGUUGGUCAAAGUCUGGGUUAACUGUACCAAUGCUUUGUCUGUGUUGUUCACUUUAAUAGUGUGUAACAGAACUACCCCAGUGUCAAAAUUACACAACUCACUCUACAUUAACUGAUCACGGCUACCCACAAAUGCUAACCUCUCUCUCUCUCUCUCUCUCUCUGUGUGUGUCUCACUAACCCACCUCUGCCUGAAUGUGUAUGUGUGUUUUCUCGGGGCAGUGAUACGACUGAAAGUUCUCCUACUGAAGAUCGUUCUCCCUCUCACCAAAGCACUGACCAGUAGAGAGAUCGCCAUUCACAGAUAGUUGUUUCCUGAGCAGUCCCCUGUGCUCUGAGAUAGUGGACGUACAGUGGUACGGGCACGAGAAGGCAAAGCCGGGAACGCUCGUCUAAACCCUCAUCCUUCAUCCCUCUCUCUUUAAAAGAGUGUUCAGAAGGCAGGCCUGACCACAGUCUGGACCUCAACUCAUCUGAAAACACCUAUGGCUGGAGCCAGUACCACCUCGCCCUCUCCUUCCUCUCUGUAUAUCCGGCGGUACAGUGCUUAUGAACUAUGGGAAUACAAGAGUCUGAAUGAACUGAGCUUGACCUUGUCUGACCCUCCCACUCUGACUUUUGAACUUUGACCCAGUUAGCUGGCAGCCGGUUUUUCCGUAUGCACAAACCCUCCGUGUUUAAUCCAUCGCUGGAUUGAUGUGCAUAAGAGAUGUCUUAUGCGCGUUGUACUAUAAGUGAACCCCACUCAUGCACACACAUGCUAAAAUAGUCGUUCGCCCCCUGCUGUCGUGUGUGUCCCUCUGCACUGAUGUCAGAGAGCCGGCGUCGUUCUCUCUCAUGCACAUGACAUGCACAAAAAAACAUUCCAAUGGAUUGCUUUGGCGUCAACCACCUUUGUAGAACUUUAUGUUCUUAGUUCUGUUAAAAAACAAAAAAAACAGUAUGUGACCACAAGCCCCACCUUCAUACUACAGCGCCCCUUCUCAUUGGACCGGAGUGCAUCAUAAGCCCCUCCCACUGUCUGGGAACUUUGAUAUUUUGUGAAUAACAAUAGAGCAUUUAAAAAAGGCAGAGGCCUUUCUUCGGUCGUUCUGGAUUGGAAGAUGAGCCCCAAUAUCAUAUCGCUCAUGAUUAUGACGUCACAAGUAUGUCAUUUCGAGAAAAUUCAAAACAUUGUAGUCUUUGUGCGUAAUGUUGAUUUGUCAUUCUCAAGUUCAUCGAUUCUGGUCCAGGAAGUUCAGCCAUUUUUACAAAACAUUAGCUAAUUUAGAAGCCAUAGCUGUAAAACAAAUCUGAAAUGUUAGCUUAGAGGCAUUAGCAUGACCCUCGGCUUUGAGUGACUGAUCUGUGAAGUACUGCAACUCAGGCUGCAACCGGCAACUCGCCACCAUGGUGCUCUGAGCUUGAACUGCACAUCCCACAAUGCCCUGCUGUAUGCCCACACUGCAUGAACAGUCACAAACCCCCGCCUAUAGUGUUGUGACAUCAGUGAAGUAACGAGACACACAAAACCUUCUUCAAACACCGCUGGCCUUAUCGGUUUUCUGUUUUUAUGUAUGUUUUUAAUUCAGGAUUUUACUUAAUUGUAACACCACUAUGACAUUACGUUCGUAUUUAUAAAACCGUCAAAAGUCAGAUGAGCACAACGCAACGUGGCACACCGACACAAUAUUUUAACGAAAAUGACAUUACCUCUUCCCUGAGGCUUUCAGGAGAACAGCAUUCCAGAAUGUGACGUGAUUAAAGCAGGUGCUUCAUUUUAAAAGCAGCCAGUGAGAAACCAUAAGCUCAGACAAUACAGGGUGUGUAAUGCUUUUAUCACACAGUCAACAAGAUCCGAAACCACGUGUGCCCCUCACUUCGAUCGUCUGACCGAGGAAACAUCAAGCCAUAAUGCUAAAGACCGCAUUUGUCACAUAUUCUGCAAGAUACGAAACAUCGUACACGCAAAGUACCUUAAGAAACAGGAAGCUAAAAGCACACCCUGUGCCGUUACAACUCAACAGAUCUUCAAAAAGUCAGUAGUUUGUGCGUUAACAUGAGCAGUUAUUACAAAUGUGUAUUUGAAAGGGUCCAAAUCACCAGACAUUAAAUCUAAAAGUCAUCCGAUUCAUGUUCCAUGAAGGGCCUAUAAGUAAACCAGACGUUUUUAUCUGCCCUAAAAUUGAUUGUUCGUUAUUUUUGUGCAUGCUCAGCACACUGUGUUAUGCAUCUUGAUGUUAAAAUUCAAACCCUUCGUUUAGAGGUCGUUCAGACCUCAUGUCCUCUUAGGCCAAUGUGAGCUCACUCCUCUCGUCUACCUGUACACUAUAUCAAAAACAAAAAUCUUUUUAUAUUAAAAAAAACAACUAACACAUUUAUCAACAUUUAUAGGCAGGACUGUGGAAACUGGGUUCUUUUAAAAGAAAACGAUUCCAUCCAUUUAAUGAUUUUUAUAAAUCAGUAUUCGUUUUAUUUUCGGGUCUUUAAGCUGGGAAAUAGCAACGACACGUUCAGGUGCUACAGGAAGACCAGUUACUGCUUUGGUUUCCUAGCUGUAGACUUUUCCUAACUGUUGUCAAUAGUUUUAAUACCAGUCGUGCAAAAUGAAGGACGUUAGUUACUAAACUGUCUUCUAACUUCGUCUUGACAAUAGAGCAUGUUUCAUGAGUUCAUUUUCAGACAUAACCGGACAAAAUAAAAUGGUGUUGUAGAAAAAAAUAAAGUGGAAUUGUUGGGCGGAUUAAAUAUAAGCAAAUUCCACAGUUAAUUUAUUCUUUUUUCUAUUAAGAAUUUGUAUAGUAACAUUUUUCAAAAAACGUGUUGUUGGCAACUGAUACUGAAUUUUCCAGAUGAGAAAUGUGGUGGUUCUUGAGAUCCUGAAAUAAAUUAUUGCUGAAUGUUCUCUAAA
Sinocyclocheilus rhinocerous is the source of this 3126-nucleotide long non-coding RNA. RefSeq lists it as uncharacterized. NCBI's taxonomy places the organism in Eukaryota, Metazoa, Chordata, Actinopteri, Cypriniformes, Cyprinidae. The transcript has 2 exons. The record is from RefSeq and is a predicted model, not a curated record.